UAAUGGCCUACCAAGGCGACGACGGGUAGCCGGCCUGAGAGGGCGACCGGCCACACUGGGACUGAGACACGGCCCAGACUCCUACGGGAGGCAGCAGUGGGGAAUAUUGCACAAUGGGCGCAAGCCUGAUGCAGCGACGCCGCGUGAGGGAUGAAGGCCUUCGGGUUGUAAACCUCUUUCAGCAGGGAAGAAGCGCAAGUGACGGUACCUGCAGAAGAAGCGCCGGCUAACUACGUGCCAGCAGCCGCGGUAAUACGUAGGGCGCAAGCGUUGUCCGGAAUUAUUGGGCGUAAAGAGCUCGUAGGCGGUUUGUCGCGUCUGGUGUGAAAACUCAAGGCUCAACCUUGAGCUUGCAUCGGGUACGGGCAGACUAGAGUGCGGUAGGGGUGACUGGAAUUCCUGGUGUAGCGGUGGAAUGCGCAGAUAUCAGGAGGAACACCGAUGGCGAAGGCAGGUCACUGGGCCGCAACUGACGCUGAGGAGCGAAAGCAUGGGGAGCGAACAGGAUUAGAUACCCUGGUAGUCCAUGCCGUAAACGUUGGGCAGCUAGGUGUGGGGCUCAUUCCACGAGUUCCGUGCCGCAGCAAACGC
RNAcentral lists this ribosomal RNA (591 nucleotides) under bacterium 27 OU-2010. Its description in RNAcentral is "bacterial SSU rRNA". It matches the Rfam family "Bacterial small subunit ribosomal RNA", at positions 258 to 858 of the family's 1533-position model. The record is from RNAcentral.